GACGAACGCUGGCGGCGUGCUUAACACAUGCAAGUCGAACGGAAAGGCCCUGCUUUUGUGGGGUGCUGGAGUGGCGAACGGAUGAGCCUCCCGUGAGUAACGUACCCUCGACUUGAGGCUGCCUUUAGUACACUGGAGCUAAUACCGCAAAGGAGCUAAUGCUCCAUGGUGGGGGUUGGAGAGUUUCGGCGGAUGGGGAUGGGCACGCGGCUUAUAAGCCUGUUGGUGGGGUAGUGGCUUAGCAAGGCUUUGACGGGUAGCCGGCCUGAGAGGGGGACGGGCCACAAUGGUACUGAGGUACGGCCCAGACUCCUACGAGAGGCAGCAGUGGGGAAUAUUGCACAGUGGGCGGAAGCCUGAUGCAGCAACGCCGCGUGCGGGAUGACGGCCGUCGGGGUGUAAUCCGCUGUCGCCUGUGACGAAGCGGGAGUGACGGUAAUGGGUAAAUAAGCACCGGCUAACUACGUG
This 468-nucleotide ribosomal RNA is filed under the name uncultured bacterium. Its description in RNAcentral is "partial 16S ribosomal RNA". It matches the Rfam family "Bacterial small subunit ribosomal RNA", at positions 28 to 507 of the family's 1533-position model. The record is from RNAcentral.